CAGCUUAAUCUGUGUGUGCUACCCAGGGAGGUCAGUGGGACAUUGGAAGUGAAACUGUUUCUCCUGUGUGUGCUGGCGCAUGCAGUGCUGCAAGGAGCCUCUGGGAGUUCCGGCGGGAAGAGACCAGCCUCCAUUUGGAGACCUUUGCUACAGGUGAAGACCUUCAAACAAGUCAAGCAGAUAUAUCAGGAGCUCAUCAGUUUUACAUCAAGCCUCCACUGGAGCUUUGCAGUCUGCCAUUCAAAGCCUGAACAAGAGCUCAUCACUGUGCUUUUUCAGGCUUCUGCCAACUCCCUGGAGCCAGUUCCUCCUUGCCAGCCCACAAAGAUUCCAUGGGCAAGCUGUCCCAGGCACGGAAGCUGCAGAAAUAGGGAGAGGCAUACGGGGCAUAAGAGUUGUGAUAGAGAUCGCACAAAGGAAGCAAGGAGACUCCCACAUCUUUCAGUGAGAAGAAAGGAAGCAGUGGAGCAGACUAAUACGGACUUGUGUCUGGUGGCCUUGCAGUACAAAGGCUGCCUUUAAAAGAGAAGCACAGCGUUAUUUAAUGAGCUGUGAGAUGAGGCGCUGCUGCUAACACUCAGAUCCCUGGAUUCAUCGGCUAUUCAUUGUGCUUAAUGUACAUGUUUCUACACCGUGCGUUUAGGAGAUCCCAGAGAAGAAUCCAAAACGGCUG
RNAcentral lists this long non-coding RNA (673 nucleotides) under Meleagris gallopavo (turkey). RNAcentral's name for it is "lncRNA (ENSMGAG00000020513.1)". Lineage: Eukaryota; Metazoa; Chordata; Aves; Galliformes; Phasianidae. The record is from RNAcentral.